UCAUUUUCUUAUAAAAAUUAAACUUGAAUAUUUCAUUUGAUUUUAUUUCCUAAUUGUACAUACGAAUGUGGCGUUCAUAUGUACAGGUGCAAGAUGAUAGUCCAUGUUUAUUCUUCAUCAGUUACAAGGCAAACGGUCCAAGUUGAGUGAUGUUGAUUAAUGUUACAAGGUGAAUAGGAGUAUGAUAUGUUCUUGCAGACAAGUUAAUACAAAAUAUGUUCAAUUUUUUCCUUACUGCCACAAAACUGUAUAUUUCUUAGACAGCUGCCAGUUGAUCUAUUUUUUGAAUUCCAACUGAUAUAUUAGUUGACUCACUUUGUAAUGUACUAUUAGCUUGACAGGUACAACCAUGAC
RNAcentral lists this long non-coding RNA (354 nucleotides) under Solanum tuberosum (potato). RNAcentral describes it as "long non-coding RNA (STUB_LNC009094)". The record is from RNAcentral. Lineage: Eukaryota; Viridiplantae; Streptophyta; Magnoliopsida; Solanales; Solanaceae.